AUCUAAUUAAAAGCCUGGGUGAAUAAAUGUGUCUUCAGUGCCUUUCUAAAAGUUGCCAGAGAUGGGGAGGCUCUUAUUUCAACAGGGAGCACAUUGCAAAGUCCAGGGGCAGCAACGGAGAAGGCCCGUUCUCGAGUAGACGCCAACGAACCUCUCCAGAUGAUCUUAACAGGCAGUGGGUGGAUGGGGGUGAAGAAGACAUUCUCUUAAAUACCCAGGGCAUAAACUGUUUAGGGCUUUAUAGGUAAUAACCAGCACCUUGUAUUUUGCCCGGAAAUGUAUCGGCAGCCAGCAUGGUUCUUUCAACACAUGAGUAAUAUGGUCAAUGUCUCCUAGAUGAUCCAGAGACGAACCUGGCCACCACAUUCUGGACCAACUGCAGUUUCCAGACUACGUACAAAGGCAGCCCCACAUAGAGUGCAUUGCAGUGAUCCAGCCUAGAGGUUACCAGCAUAUGCACCACCGUUUUGAGGUUGUUCAUCUCAAGAAAUGGACACAGCUGGAGUAUCAGCUGAAGCUGAUAAAAAGCAUCUCUGGCCACCAUCUCAACCUGGGACCCCAGGGAGAGGUUCAGAUCCAGAAGCACCCCCAGACUGCGUACUUGUUCCUUCCGGGGAGUGUGACCCCAUCCAGAACUGGCAAAUCAAAAUCAUCUCCCGAGUUCUGACCCUGCACAAUAAGUACCUUCGUCUUAUCUGCAUUCAGCCUCAGUUUGUUAUCCCUCUUCCAGCCCAUUACUGCCUCCAGGCAGGCAUUUAGGGAGGUUAUGCCUUCUCCUGAUGAUGUUGACAUGGAGAAAUAGAUUUGGGUGUCAUCAGCUCAUUGAUAACACCCUGCACCAGAUCUCCUGAUGAUCUCUCCCAGCGGUUUCAUGUAGCUGUUAAACAACAUCAUAGACAACACGGAGCCCUGAGGGACACCAUAGGAAAGUUCAGGUUUUGAAGAACAGCAGUCUCCAAGAGACACCAUCUGGAGUCUGCCCAUGAGGUCAGGAUGAAGCCUCUGGUCACUUAUUUCCUGGCAGUUGGCUUGACUGCAGUUGCUGUGCAAGAGGGCGUGUCUGCACAGAUGUGCACCUUUGACCUGCUGGACAAAAAGGACAGCCAAUUUUGCAGAGGGAAGUUAGAAAUUAUCUACCCAGAACUGGGAGAUGUUGGCUGCACAUAUAUUCCAGCUUGCAACCAGUACCGUAAGCUGAUCAGCAACGAAUGGAAAAGCCCAACUGUUAGAUACCGGAAGGCAAAUGAGAAUAAAGAGUAUGUCCUGAUCAUGGUUGAUCCAGAUGCCCCUAGCAGAGCAACUCCAAAGUACCGUUUCUGGAGACAUUGGCUUGUCAGCAAUAUCAAAGUUUCUCAAGAGUCUUUGAUGAGGAACUUUGCCGAAAGCUUUUUGAAAGUCCAGGUAGACUAUGUCAACUGGAUCACCUUUAUCCACACAGCUGCUGACACUCUCAAAGAACUCCAAAAGGGUGCUGACCUGAAGAAUGGGAAUCUCCAAGGCAAUGUGUUAUCAGACUACCUCCGACCCACUCCACCACCCAAAAGUGGUUUCCAUCGCUACCAGUUCCUCAUCUUUGAACAGCCAGCUCAUCAAACCAUAGCCUUGAGUCUAGAGGAAUCAGCAUCUCCAGCUGUAUCACUUGAGCCAGUGCUACGGAUCUCCUUUUCAUUUGAUCACCUCGUAUUUAUUGCAGUUGGCUUUUCCAAGCUUCGGAGCAAUGCAAAGUGCCUGCCAUGUUCCCUCCCCCUGGAUGUUAAGAACAAUUCUUCUGAAUUCUGACAUGCAGGGAAAAUUGCAAUAGAUUUGAAAAGCAGACUAUUCCCAGGAGAAAGGCAGCAAUCAAAUGUUGGUGUUUCCGUGCCAGAUGCUUAUUGGAUGGAUGUGUUAAAGUGGCCACUGAUACAGCUGACAUCGCUUGGCAUCUCUACAAAUUAGGCUCUAGAUGUCACUAGCUGGUUACCCGCUGAAAAUAUCUAUAGAGCAGAGACCAAAUCGUAACACCCUGGAGCUUCUUUUUCUUUUCUUUAAACAUGUAGUUUAUUUGAUUUUUAGGUUUUAUUAUAAAGAGAAACAAUUCACAUCCAUGUCCCCAUCUGUCCCCCACCCCACCCCCCACUCCCAGCCCAAGGAUUUUACAGUAUGGCAUAAAUGCUUUAUUGUUUUUAAUUGAUUUUAAUAUUUUUAUGGGAUUUUAUUGCAUUUUAACUUUUGUAAACCGCCUUGGGACGAGUUUUAUGAAAACUCAUAUAUAAAUUAAACAAUAAAGAAAAGAAAAGAAAAACUGA
This is an RNA transcript of Hemicordylus capensis (graceful crag lizard), 2285 nucleotides long. It is a transcript of the gene named phosphatidylethanolamine binding protein 4, with no coding region annotated. The transcript has 10 exons. Lineage: Eukaryota; Metazoa; Chordata; Lepidosauria; Squamata; Cordylidae. The record is from RefSeq and is a predicted model, not a curated record.